This 402-nucleotide ribosomal RNA is filed under the name uncultured bacterium. RNAcentral describes it as "bacterial SSU rRNA". It matches the Rfam family "Bacterial small subunit ribosomal RNA", at positions 355 to 774 of the family's 1533-position model. The record is from RNAcentral.
UGGGGAAUAUUGCACAAUGGGCGAAAGCCUGAUGCAGCAACGCCGCGUGAGUGAUGAAGGCCUUCGGGUUGUAAAGCUCUGUCUUCUGGGACGAUAAUGACGGUACCAGAGGAGGAAGCCACGGCUAACUACGUGCCAGCAGCCGCGGUAAUACGUAGGUGGCAAGCGUUGUCCGGAUUUACUGGGCGUAAAGGAUGCGUAGGCGGAUACUUAAGUCAGAUGUGAAAAUCCCGGGCUUAACUUGGGAACUGCAUUUGAAACUGGGUAUCGAGAGUGCGGGAGAGGAAAGUGGAAUUCCUAGUGUAGCGGUGAAAUGCGUAGAGAUUAGGAAGAACACCAGUGGCGAAGGCGACUUUCUGGACCGUAACUGACGCUGAGGCAUGAAAGCGUGGGGAGCAAACA